RNAcentral lists this ribosomal RNA (387 nucleotides) under uncultured bacterium. RNAcentral describes it as "bacterial SSU rRNA". It matches the Rfam family "Bacterial small subunit ribosomal RNA", at positions 28 to 417 of the family's 1533-position model. The record is from RNAcentral.
GACGAACGCUGGCGGCGUGCUUAACACAUGCAAGUCGAGCGGUAAGGCCCUUUCGGGGGUACACGAGCGGCGAACGGGUGAGUAACACGUGGGUGACCUGCCCUCAGCUCUGGGAUAAGCCUGGGAAACCGGGUCUAAUACUGGAUAUGACUCCAUGACGCAUGUUGUGGGUGGAAAGCCUUGUGCGGCUGAGGAUGGGCCCGCGGCCUAUCGGCUUGUUGGUGGGGUGAUGGCCUACCAAGGCGACGACGGGUAGCCGGCCUGAGAGGGCGACCGGCCACACUGGGACUGAGACACGGCCCAGACUCCUACGGGAGGCAGCAGUGGGGAAUCUUGCGCAAUGGGCGAAAGCCUGACGCAGCGACGCCGCGUGAGGGAUGACGGCCU